UUCAAUUUAUAUAGAAUUCUUUAAAAAACGCAGAAUAAUCUUAAAGACAGAAAACAGAUCCAUGUCUGCCUGGGGAGGGUGCAGAGAAAGGGUGGAUCCCAGGAAACCUUCAGGGGGAUGGAACCAUUCAGGGGAUGGAAAUGUUUGCUGCCCUGACCGGUGACCGUUUCAACAGGGGUGGGGGCGGGGGUGUGAACACCCAACAAGCCUUACACUUUAAACAGCACAGUUCCUUGUACCGCAACGACACCUCAACGAAGUUAUAAAAAGUACAUCUAAUGCACUAGAAUAGUCUUCAAAGGACAGGGUGAACCUUUCUCCGAAUGACUGGGGUGACCAUAUAGUUUUAUCAUCCAAGCCAGGAAAUUUGUGCAAGUCAAAGUGAGUGCUAAAAAUAAUUAACGGGUGUUAUCUCAUCUACAACAGGGUGUAGUGCCCUGCACAAAACAGCGCUUAGGGCUUUGGGAACAACAAAUACCCAAUCUAUCCCUCGGUGCGAUUAGAUACUUGUUACAUAAAGCAAACCGCAACGUUCACUCCUCAGAAGACAGCCAGAGCUGGCAACGGCCAGCUGGAAAGCAGUCACGGAAAUGGUGCUGGUCUUCAGUGUCACGCAGGACAGAUGCCAAGGCUCCCGCCUCAAGGGCACGGUUAUCCUCACACGGUCAUUUCAGGGCAAUCAUUAGGAUGACACUAGGAGCAAAGCCUGCUGGAUCAAUCCCCAUCCCAGCAAGCCGUGCGGUGUGGAAACAUGACCAGGCAGAGGUGCACCACGAUACUUCGGGGAAGCCAGGCACGUGACACGCUCACCAGAGAUUCUGGGAAUCAGGACACAGUACAGCCCCAACCAUGAUCCAUCUGAAAUGAGGUAGACAGAAGCCGAGGAAGCUGUGAACCAGAACCAAGCCCGAAUCAAAUAGAUCAGGCAACAAAAAGGACACAAGACAGAGCGAAGGCUGCCCUCUCAAGGAGAACUGCACCCUCUCUCGGGCAGGGGGCUCAGCACAGGGGCUGCUCUGCAAGGGAGACCACACUCAUUUUCCCAAACGUCCCUCCUGCAGCCUACGAUGCUUGUUCUAGCCAUACCAUCUGCAUGAACACCUGAACACAUUCUGAGCCCCCAGUGCUACAGAGCGAGGAAAUAGAGUUUAAAUGAUCAACUUUGCCACAUCUACAGAUGAAAUGUCUCCACCUACACAAGUGAUCGUUACAGACCCAUGAUGUGGAAGGGCUUACGAUGAAAAUGUAAAGUUACACACACGCUGCUCUGCGUAUAACAUGGGAAAAGCAGCAUACGCCCCCGGCAAAAGCCUGAAGGGACUCGGAGAAAGAGAAGAGCUGCUGAACUGUGACCUUUCCUCCCCUCACUUUAAAUCUCCUCUAGAACCAUUAUUAUGAUGUAAGCACUUGCACAAUAAGGGGGUAAGCUGCCUGCACGGGUUCCGGUCCCAGGACGCUCCUGGGGCCCGCCCCCCAGCCCACUCACUCGCCCCUUCUCAGUGGCCAGUCCAGCCCCCGGGCCCACAGAGAUCUGCCCCACGCUCGCACUGUGUUCUGCCCCUUCUGCUGUUACACCUGUCACGGGACACUAUAAUCACUUCUAACGUCUAGACACUUUUCACGUCUAACAGGCUGUGAGAAGUCCCUGAGUGCAGGGGACAUGUUUAUCCACGUCCGUCUGCCCUCAGGCACUGGGCAGAGAGAGUACCUCCACGCUGGAUGCUUGAAAGAAGGAAAAACAAGUCUGUCCAAAACCUG
Long non-coding RNA from Herpailurus yagouaroundi (jaguarundi), 1758 nucleotides. RefSeq lists it as uncharacterized. The transcript is spliced from 3 exons. The record is from RefSeq and is a predicted model, not a curated record. Lineage: Eukaryota; Metazoa; Chordata; Mammalia; Carnivora; Felidae.